RNAcentral lists this long non-coding RNA (250 nucleotides) under Sorghum bicolor (sorghum). RNAcentral's name for it is "long non-coding RNA (SBIC_LNC006814)". The record is from RNAcentral. Lineage: Eukaryota; Viridiplantae; Streptophyta; Magnoliopsida; Poales; Poaceae.
GGCCGCUGGGUUUUGUUAGUCAGUCCGUGUGACUCACCCGCAAAAAUCCAUGGUUUGCUAUCCCCCACUUGCGCCACAAGGGUAACCACUAACAAGCUAGAAAAGGUCCUCAUACUGAGCUAAAGCCAGAGCCAUGUAGCCCUCACAGUUGUACUGUAUGUCCCGGAUGGUCAUUUACAGUUAAGUCCUUAUGGAGAGAAACUAGAGCACCAUAAGAUAGCCCAAUGCUCCAGCCCUCAUAUCCAAAGUU